This 454-nucleotide ribosomal RNA is filed under the name uncultured bacterium. Its description in RNAcentral is "bacterial SSU rRNA". It matches the Rfam family "Bacterial small subunit ribosomal RNA", at positions 340 to 786 of the family's 1533-position model. The record is from RNAcentral.
UACGGGAGGCAGCAGGGGGGAAUAUUGCACAAUGGGCGCAAGCCUGAUGCAGCCAUGCCGCGUGUAUGAAGAAGGCCUUCGGGUUGUAAAGUACUUUCAGUCGUGAGGAAGGUGUUAAGGUUAAUAACCUUAGCAAUUGACGUUAGCGACAGAAGAAGCACCGGCUAACUCCGUGCCAGCAGCCGCGGUAAUACGGAGGGUGCGAGCGUUAAUCGGAAUUACUGGGCGUAAAGGGCACGCAGGCGGUUAAUUAAGUUGGAUGUGAAAUCCCCGGGCUUAACCUGGGAAUGGCAUUCAAGACUGGUUAGCUAGAGUCUUGUAGAGGGGGUUAGAAUUCCAUGUGUAGCGGUGAAAUGCGUAGAGAUGUGGAGGAAUACCGGUGGCGAAGGCGGCCCCUGGACAAAGACUGACGCUCAUGUGCGAAAGCGUGGGGAGCAAACAGGGAUUAGAUACC